This 253-nucleotide ribosomal RNA is filed under the name uncultured bacterium. RNAcentral's name for it is "partial 16S ribosomal RNA". It matches the Rfam family "Bacterial small subunit ribosomal RNA", at positions 524 to 776 of the family's 1533-position model. The record is from RNAcentral.
UACGUAGGUGGCAAGCGUUGUCCGGAUUUACUGGGCGUAAAGAGCGCGCAGGCGGUCGUUCAAGUCGCGUGUGAAAGCCCCCGGCUCAACUGGGGAGGGUCACGCGAUACUGAUCGACUCGAAGGCAGGAGAGGGAAGUGGAAUUCCCGGUGUAGUGGUGAAAUGCGUAGAUAUCGAGAGGAACACCUGCGGCGAAGGCGGGUUGCUGGGCUGACACUGACGCUGAGGCGCGAAAGCUAGGGGAGCGAACGGG